AAAGUUCUGAGAUACUCGUUAAGCUCUUAUUUUGAACCUACAUAUAUAUUCAGGGAGUUCAAUAUUUAGAUGAGAAAAUGUACCUUUAUGUGAAUCCUUACAAGGUAUUAAAGGCGAUUGAGGCAUCUGUGCGGACACCCACCUAUCUGAGGAUAGGGAUCAAAAUUAGAGUACCGAUAUUUUGGAUUUAAU
RNAcentral lists this non-coding RNA (192 nucleotides) under Clostridium sp. Maddingley MBC34-26. RNAcentral's name for it is "6S / SsrS RNA". It matches the Rfam family "6S / SsrS RNA". From Rfam's summary of the family: E. coli 6S RNA was the first non coding RNA to be sequenced, but its function was unknown until recently. It consists of 184 nucleotides that fold into an extended hairpin structure with a large single-stranded internal bulge. The 6S RNA specifically associates with RNA polymerase holoenzyme containing the sigma70 specificity factor. The record is from Rfam by way of RNAcentral. Lineage: Bacteria; Bacillati; Bacillota; Clostridia; Eubacteriales; Clostridiaceae.